RNAcentral lists this ribosomal RNA (398 nucleotides) under uncultured Neocallimastigomycetes. RNAcentral's name for it is "eukaryotic LSU rRNA". It matches the Rfam family "Eukaryotic large subunit ribosomal RNA", at positions 127 to 522 of the family's 3401-position model. The record is from RNAcentral. Lineage: Eukaryota; Fungi; Neocallimastigomycota; Neocallimastigomycetes.
GUUCUACCUUGACGAAUUGUAGUUUAAAGAAGUGUUUUCUGUUAGAGGAGCAGCAAAAGUUCCUUGGAAUGGGACAUCAUAGAGGGUGAGAAUCCCGUAUUUGGUUAUUCUUUCUAGCUUUGUGAUACACUUUCAAAGAGUCGGAUUGUUUGGGAAUGCAGUCCAAAAUGGGUGGUAAAUUUCAUCUAAAGCUAAAUAUUGGCGAGAGACCGAUAGCGAACAAGUACCGUGAGGGAAAGAUGAAAAGAACUUUGAAAAGAGAGUUAAACAGUACGUGAAAUUGUCAAAAGGGAAGCGUUUGACACCAGUGUUGUUUUUCCGAAAAUCAAUUAAGAAGGGCUUGAUUUUGUGUUGUAUUGACCUUAUCAGCUUUCUUCACUCUUUUUCGAGUCUCUCUU